Molecule: small nuclear RNA, 349 nt
Filed under: Erinaceus europaeus (western European hedgehog)
Lineage: Eukaryota; Metazoa; Chordata; Mammalia; Eulipotyphla; Erinaceidae
Description: 7SK RNA
Rfam family: 7SK RNA
About the family: 7SK was discovered as an abundant small nuclear RNA in the mid-70s but a possible function has only recently been suggested.
Source: Rfam by way of RNAcentral
GGAUGUGAGGGCGAUCUGGCUGUGACAUCUGUCACCCCACUGAUUGCCAGGGUUGAUUCAGUUGAUCUGGCUGGCUAGGCGGGUGUCCCCUUCCUCUCUCACUGCUCCAUGUGCAUCCCUCCUGAAGCUGCGCCCUCGGUUGAAGAGGACGGCCUUCCCCAAAUAGAGACAGACCGGUCUUCGGCCGAGGGUAUACGAGUAGCUGCGCUCCCCUGCAAGAAGCUCUAAACAAGCUCUCAAGGUUCAUGCUUCUUUUGAUCCACACCCCUUGACACUACAUCUGCUGAUCUCAACCAAACCAGUGCAGCCAGUGCCAGCCAUGACAUGUUUCACUUGGGAAUGUGUCCAC